GAUGAACGCUGGCGGCGUGCUUAACACAUGCAAGUCGAACGAAGAUGCCGGAGUGCUUGCACUUUGGCAGACUGAGUGGCGGACGGGUGAGUAACGCGUGGGUAACCUGCCUUAUACAGGGGGAUAACAGUUGGAAACGACUGCUAAUACCGCAUAAGCGCACGGUAUCGCAUGAUACAGUGUGAAGAACUCCGGUGGUAUAAGAUGGACCCGCGUCUGAUUAGCUUGUUGGUGAGGUAACGGCCCACCAAGGCGACGAUCAGUAGCCGGCCUGAGAGGGUGAACGGCCACAUUGGGACUGAGACACGGCCCAAACUCCUACGGGAGGCAGCAGUGGGGAAUAUUGCACAAUGGGGGAAACCCUGAUGCAGCGACGCCGCGUGAGUGAUGAAGUAUUUCGGUAUGUAAAACUCUAUCAGCAGGGAAGAUAAUGACGGUACCUGACUAAGAAGCACCGGCUAAAUACGUG
Molecule: ribosomal RNA, 469 nt
Filed under: uncultured bacterium
Lineage: Bacteria
Description: bacterial SSU rRNA
Rfam family: Bacterial small subunit ribosomal RNA
Source: RNAcentral